CAACUCUAGGGCGUGGGGAUGUGCCCAUUUUAAUGUAUUCCAAGAAACUUUGUGCUCCCGAUAUGGUCAACCACGCUCUUUCAACCCGAUGAGUAUUGGAGGGAAUAUAUCUUGCGGGUGCACACUCCGUUCCGCGAGGAAAACGAUUCUCUGCUCUUGCUCCUACUCGAACAAGGUGCUGGCAUCGACAGUACCUUCGCCACUGGCGCAACCCCGUUGUGGGUUGCAGUGAACCAGCCAAAUACACACCUUUCUCAACGUUUGAUAGCCAAUGGGGCUGAUGUCCAUUUUGCUAAUGAUGCCGGCAACACAAUUCUGCAUGUGGCCGCGACUGGUUACAACGAGGAGGUUAUCCGCUCUCUUCUUGUCAAGGGAACAAAUGUUCAUUUGAAGAAUGUCGUAGGGUGUAUGUACCCUUUUUCAUGGAGCUGCCAGAGGAAGAUUGGUUAACCAUAUUACGGAAUACGCUGAGGCGAUAAAGCUUCAAUAUACACAUCUGGUGACUGGCCUUGAACACGCCAGAGACAGCUCCAGUUUAGGUCGCAUUGUCGUCCGUUGUCCAGGUUUUAUCCCGAAGUACGAAAGUGGUUACCCGUUGCCUCCCAGUUCAAAUGAUUAAUAUCAUCCAUCUCAGCCGAACAAUCAAACAAAAUCGGAAAGGGAUUUUGAGCUACGUCUCUGUGUACUUCGAAUCCGAGUCGGUGAUAGACCAGUUCUGUUUAAACACUGGCAAGGGAUAUAGACACCUGCCGGAAAGGAAAACUGAGAAUCAUUUUUAGGCAAAGAAAGAAGUAAUGGGCGAAUAUGCAGAUGGAAUGGAAGCAGGUCUGCGAAUGUGCUGGCCAUUUCGCUUCCACAAAUGCUCGCCCUCUAUAAAUAAGCCAUGAGAUGUGAUCAAUAUCGCAGCAGCUGGGGACCCUAGUUUUAGGGGCUGAAGGAACA
RNAcentral lists this small RNA (942 nucleotides) under Histoplasma ohiense. RNAcentral's name for it is "hypothetical lncRNA". Lineage: Eukaryota; Fungi; Ascomycota; Eurotiomycetes; Onygenales; Ajellomycetaceae. The record is from RNAcentral.